UAUAUUUUAGUAUAUGAUGUACAAAAGUUUUUGAAACUUUAGGUGGUAAUUUAAUUUACCAAUUAUAU
RNAcentral lists this transfer RNA (68 nucleotides) under Cheilomenes sexmaculata. Its description in RNAcentral is "tRNA-Gln". Lineage: Eukaryota; Metazoa; Arthropoda; Insecta; Coleoptera; Coccinellidae. The record is from RNAcentral.